AUUGAACGCUGGCGGCAGGCCUAACACAUGCAAGUCGAGCGGAUGCAGGGAGCCUGCUCCUGGAGACAGGGGCGGACGGGUGAGUAACGCCGAGGAAUGUGCGGGGUAGGGGGGGAAAACGUCCGAAAAUGGGCGCUAAUACCGCACACGCCACGAGGGAGAAAGUGGGGGAGCUUCGGACCUCGCGGAAUGAGAUGAGGCUAGGACGGAUUAGCUAGUUGGUGGGGUAAAGGCCUACCAAGGCGACGAUCCGUAGCUGGUCUGAGAGGAUGAUCAGUCACACUGUGACUGAGACACGGCCCAGACUCCUACGGGAGGCAGCAGUGGGGAAUUUUGGACAAUGGGCGAAAGCCUGAUCCAGCCAUGCCGCGUGUAUGAUGAAGGUCUUCGGAUUGUAAAGCGCUUUAGGUCGGAAGGAAGAGCAGUCUUUUAAUACCUGACUGUCUUGACGUUACCGACAGAAUAAGCACCGGCUAACUUCGUG
RNAcentral lists this ribosomal RNA (484 nucleotides) under uncultured bacterium. RNAcentral describes it as "partial 16S ribosomal RNA". It matches the Rfam family "Bacterial small subunit ribosomal RNA", at positions 29 to 507 of the family's 1533-position model. The record is from RNAcentral.